This 77-nucleotide transfer RNA is filed under the name Rhizoctonia solani. RNAcentral describes it as "tRNA-Ala". It matches the Rfam family "tRNA". Rfam says of the family: Transfer RNA (tRNA) molecules are approximately 80 nucleotides in length. Lineage: Eukaryota; Fungi; Basidiomycota; Agaricomycetes; Cantharellales; Ceratobasidiaceae. The record is from RNAcentral.
GGGCAUGUAGCGCAGUUGGUAGCGCGCUCGCUUAGCAAAGUUGCGAGAGGUCCUCGAUUCGAAUUCGGGCUUGUCCA